GAAGGUAUAGCUCAGUGGUAGAGUGCAUGCCUAGCAUGCACAAGGUCUUGGGUUCAGUCCCCAGAACCUCCA
This 72-nucleotide transfer RNA is filed under the name Camelus bactrianus (Bactrian camel). It matches the Rfam family "tRNA". Rfam says of the family: Transfer RNA (tRNA) molecules are approximately 80 nucleotides in length. RNAcentral also lists the same sequence under 2 other names. The record is from Rfam by way of RNAcentral. Lineage: Eukaryota; Metazoa; Chordata; Mammalia; Artiodactyla; Camelidae.